This 74-nucleotide transfer RNA is filed under the name Candidatus Latescibacterota bacterium. RNAcentral's name for it is "tRNA-Gln". It matches the Rfam family "tRNA". From Rfam's summary of the family: Transfer RNA (tRNA) molecules are approximately 80 nucleotides in length. Their secondary structure includes four short double-helical elements and three loops (D, anti-codon, and T loops). Lineage: Bacteria; Pseudomonadati; Candidatus Latescibacterota. The record is from RNAcentral.
UACCGGGUCGUCCAACGGCAGGACAGCGGCCUUUGGAGCCGCGAAUCAAGGUUCGAGUCCUUGCCCGGUAGCCA